This 236-nucleotide ribosomal RNA is filed under the name uncultured bacterium. RNAcentral's name for it is "partial 16S ribosomal RNA". It matches the Rfam family "Bacterial small subunit ribosomal RNA", at positions 524 to 759 of the family's 1533-position model. The record is from RNAcentral.
UACGGAGGGUGCAAGCGUUGUCCGGAAUCACUGGGCGUAAAGGGCGCGUAGGCGGCUCAUGAAGGCUGUGGUGAAAGUCCGGGCUCAACCUCGGAUCGGCCGUGGCGACUCGUGGGCUGGAGCACUGUAGAGGCGGGUGGAAUUCCGGGUGUAGCGGUGGAAUGCGUAGAGAUCCGGAAGAACACCAGUGGCGAAGGCGGCCCGCUGGGCAGUGGCUGACGCUGAGGCGGCGACAG